UACGUAGGGGGCAAGCGUUGUCCGGAUUUAUUGGGCGUAAAGAGCGUGUAGGCGGCCAUGUAGGUCCGUUGUGAAAACUCGAGGCUCAACCUCGAGACGCCGAUGGAAACCAUGUGGCUAGAGUCCGGAAGAGGAGAGUGGAAUUCCUGGUGUAGCGGUGAAAUGCGUAGAUAUCUGAAGGAACAUCAGUGGCGAAAGCGACUUCCUGGACCAAUACUGACGCUCAUGUGCGAAAGCGUGGGGAGCAAACAGG
Molecule: ribosomal RNA, 253 nt
Filed under: uncultured bacterium
Lineage: Bacteria
Description: partial 16S ribosomal RNA
Rfam family: Bacterial small subunit ribosomal RNA
Source: RNAcentral